GAUGAACGCUGGCGGCGUGCCUAAUACAUGCAAGUCGUGCGGUUCUUUAAUGAUCUUUUUGGCUUGCGGUUUUUACUCAUCAUUCAGAUGAGCAAAAGCCGCAGGUCGUAUCAUAUUGAAUAGCGGCGGACGGGUGAGUAACGCGUGGGAACGUACCCCAGACUGAGGAAUAAGCACCAGAAAUGGUGUCUAAUACCGCAUAACCUCUACGGAGAAAAGCUUUUAGCGGUUUGGGAACGGCCUGCGUCCGAUUAGCUUGUUGGUAAGGUAAAGGCUUACCAAGGCGAUGAUCGGUAGCUGGUCUGAGAGGAUGAUCAGCCACACUGGAACUGAGACACGGUCCAGACUCCUACGGGAGGCAGCAGUAGGGAAUCUUCCACAAUGGACGAAAGUCUGAUGGAGCAACGCCGCGUGCAGGAUGAAUGCCUUCGGGUUGUAAACUGCUUUUAUGGGUGACGAUUAUGACGGUAACCCAUGAAUAAGGAUCGGCUAAUUCCGUGCCAGCCGCCGCCGUAACAC
Molecule: ribosomal RNA, 519 nt
Filed under: uncultured bacterium
Lineage: Bacteria
Description: bacterial SSU rRNA
Rfam family: Bacterial small subunit ribosomal RNA
Source: RNAcentral